GACGAACGCUGGCGGCGUGCUUAACACAUGCAAGUCGAACGGAAAGGCCCUGCUUUUGUGGGGUGCUCGAGUGGCGAACGGGUGAGUAACACGUGAGUAACCUGCCCUUGACUUUGGGAUAACUUCAGGAAACUGGGGCUAAUACCGGAUAGGAGCUCCUGCUGCAUGGUGGGGGUUGGAAAGUUUCGGCGGUUGGGGAUGGACUCGCGGCUUAUCAGCUUGUUGGUGGGGUAGUGGCUUACCAAGGCUUUGACGGGUAGCCGGCCUGAGAGGGUGACCGGCCACAUUGGGACUGAGAUACGGCCCAGACUGCUACGGGAGGCAGCAGUGGGGAAUAUUGCACAGUGGGCGGAAGCCUGAUGCAGCAACGCCGCGUGCGGGAUGACGGCCUUCGGGUUGUAAACCGCUUUCGCCUGUGACGAAGCGUGAGUGACGGUAAUGGGUAAAGAAGCACCGGCUAACUACGUG
RNAcentral lists this ribosomal RNA (468 nucleotides) under uncultured bacterium. Its description in RNAcentral is "partial 16S ribosomal RNA". It matches the Rfam family "Bacterial small subunit ribosomal RNA", at positions 28 to 507 of the family's 1533-position model. The record is from RNAcentral.